GGGAGCCUGAGAAACGGCUACCACAUCCAAGGAUGGCAGCAGGCGCGCAAAUUACCCAAUCCCGACACGGGGAGGUAGUGACAAUAAAUAACAAUACGGGGUUCUUUCGGAUCUCGUAAUUGGAAUGAGUACAAUUUAAAUCUCUUAACGAGGAACAAUUGGAGGGCAAGUCUGGUGCCAGCAGCCGCGGUAAUUCCAGCUCCAAUAGCGUAUAUAAAAGUUGUUGCAGUUAAAAAGCUCGUAGUUGAAUUUCGGGGUUAGUAGGUUGGUCAUGCCUCUGGUAUGUACUGAUCUCACUGAUUCCUCCUUCCUGAUGAACCGUAAUGCCAUUAAUUUGGUGUUGCGGGGAAUUUGGACUGUUACUUUGAAAAAAUUAGAGUGUUUAAAGCAAGCUAACGCUUGAAUACAUUAGCAUGGAAUAAUGAAAUAGGACGUUCGAUCCUAUUUUGUUGGUUUCUAGGAUUGACGUAAUGAUUAAUAGGGAUAGUUGGGGGCAUUAGUAUUCAAUUGUCAGAGGUGAAAUUCUUGGAUUUAUUGAAGACUAACUACUGCGAAAGCAUUUGCCAAGGAUGGUUUCAUUAAUCAAGAACGAAAGUUAGGGGAUCGAAGACGAUCAGAUACCGUCGUAGUCUUAACCAUAAACUAUGCCGACUAGGGAUCGGAUGAUGUUAAUUUUUUAAUGACUCAUUCGGCGCCUUACG
RNAcentral lists this ribosomal RNA (701 nucleotides) under uncultured fungus. RNAcentral describes it as "SSU rRNA". It matches the Rfam family "Eukaryotic small subunit ribosomal RNA", at positions 390 to 1092 of the family's 1831-position model. Lineage: Eukaryota; Fungi. The record is from RNAcentral.